This 401-nucleotide ribosomal RNA is filed under the name uncultured bacterium. Its description in RNAcentral is "bacterial SSU rRNA". It matches the Rfam family "Bacterial small subunit ribosomal RNA", at positions 29 to 416 of the family's 1533-position model. The record is from RNAcentral.
AACGAACGUUGGCGGCGUGGAUGAGGCAUGCAAGUCGAACGCGAAAGCCGCAAGGCGAGUAAAGUGGCGGACGGGCGAGUAACACGUAAUCAAGCUACCUGCGAGACGGGGAUAACUUCGGGAAACCGAAGCUAAGACCCGAUGGUCUUCUAGGAACGCAUGUUCCAUGAAGUAAAUGGGCGGGAUCCUCCGGGAUCGCCUGCUCGCAGAGGUGAUUGCGGCCCAUCAGCUAGUUGGUAGGGUAAUGGCCUACCAAGGCAACGACGGGUAGCCGGCCUUAGAGGGUGGUCGGCCGCACUGGGACUGAGACACUGCCCAGACUCCUACGGGAGGCCGCAGUCGAGAAUCUUCCGCAAUGGGCGAAAGCCUGACGGAGCGACGCCGCGUGGAGGAUGAAGGCC